UACGUAGGGGGUUAGCGUUAUCCGGAUUUACUGGGCGUAAAGGGUGCGUAGGCGGUCUUUCAAGUCAGGAGUGAAAGGCUACGGCUCAACCGUAGUAAGCUCUUGAAACUGUAAGACUUGAGUGCAGGAGAGGAGAGUGGAAUUCCUAGUGUAGCGGUGAAAUGCGUAGAUAUCGGGAGGAACACCAGUGGCGAAGGCGACUUCCUGGCACAAUACUGACGCUCAUGUGCGAAAGCUAGGGUAGCGAACGGGAUUAGAUACCCCGGUAGUCCCUGAG
This 277-nucleotide ribosomal RNA is filed under the name uncultured prokaryote. Its description in RNAcentral is "partial 16S ribosomal RNA". It matches the Rfam family "Bacterial small subunit ribosomal RNA", at positions 524 to 801 of the family's 1533-position model. The record is from RNAcentral.